GCAUUGCGUAGCUCAGUUGGUAGAGCGCAGGGCUCAACGAGAGUUUCUGAGGGCGCGGGUUCAAUUCCUGCCGCAUACG
Cytidiella melzeri is the source of this 79-nucleotide non-coding RNA. The record is from the annotation of a GenBank genome assembly. NCBI's taxonomy places the organism in Eukaryota, Fungi, Basidiomycota, Agaricomycetes, Polyporales, Irpicaceae.